GAUGAACGCUGGCGGUGCGCCUAACACAUGCAAGUCGAACGCGAACCAUUUUAGAUCACUUUGAAGGGCUUGCCUGGAUGAGUGUGAUAUUUUUCGGUUUGAGUGGCGAACGAGAGAGUAAUGUAUUGGUAUCUCCCCCAAGUCAGGGAUAGCCCAUUGAAAGAUGGAUUAAUACCGGAUGGUCCCGCAAGGGUAAGCAGCAAUGCGCUCGGGGAAGAGCCUGUAUCCUAUCAGCUAGUGCGGGUAAUAGCCACAAGGCAAUGACGGGUAGCUAGGUCUGAGAGGACGACCAGCCUCGAUGGAACUGAGACACGGUCCAUACACCUA
This 327-nucleotide ribosomal RNA is filed under the name uncultured bacterium. RNAcentral's name for it is "bacterial SSU rRNA". It matches the Rfam family "Bacterial small subunit ribosomal RNA", at positions 28 to 341 of the family's 1533-position model. The record is from RNAcentral.